GCGCUAUCUCAUGCGUCACCAGGAUGGAGCUGAACAGAAAGGAAGUGCAGCUCACUUGGACAAAACUUUGUUGAGCCCUCAGUGUAGGAUUUACAACUCCUCAAGUUGACAGGAGUGUACUGUGGGUGGCAACAUGGCCUUUCCCCUGAUGCUUCUGACAGGGUGAGCAGGAAGAAUCUGGCAAGGAGCAGUUUUGGCCCUACUUGUCAGAGAAAGACACCUUUGCUCAUGUUGGGAAGGGAGCAGUGGUUUGCCUGUCUACAAAUCCACUUUGGGAUGGUGAUGGUUGGGGUUAAAGUCCGACAAACUUCAUGCUCACAAAAAGAGGCUGACAAAGCAAAGCAGAAAGAGAAGAGUUUUCAAAAGACUUUCAUCUGAGAAACAAGGCAGCACUAUUCAAAAAUGACUAGCUCUCUAUUUGCUUGUAAUCCCCAAGGCUAGCUCUCUGCUGGCAGGCUGCAUGCUAAUGCCUUAUUAGCUUUCAUUUGGUGCUCUCAUCCCGCUGCAAGAGAAAAGGAGAGAGACAGAAGAGUUUUCAGCACUUUCAGAAGUCCCUCCUCUACUGUAAUAAAGCUGCCUGCAUUCCAGCAGCACUUCUUUCUAACGAGAACAAGACUUGCCUGAUGGAUGGCUGCAGAGAAAUUGGGGAAUUCAUGACCCGGAUGGCCAGUUUCAUAUGGAAUGAGCUAUUACAGGGAGCUGCAUUUAAGGCAGUUGGUGUAAGAAUGAUACAGGAAAACUCAAUCCAGAGGAUCUGUGAUUUGUACAGUUUGCUGGUUUUCCUUUUGAGGAGCUGGUCCAGGUAAUAUCACUGCUAGGAGGACAGCAAUGAAUCUGAGCUAUUACUGAAACAGAAAGUGGCAGUAAUACAGCAUAGAGGAAGGGAAACCAUACCUUGUGCUGAGCUCCUCUAUCUGCGAUUCUAGAGGCAGCUUGGACAGCUGGCCUGCAGAGAGCUCCUUCCUAUCACCCAUGUUCAAGGACAGCCUUGACUGACCUGCAGACUGGCCUGGAAAUUUCAUCACAAAAUGGAGUGUUAGUAAAACAAGCAACACAAGCAACCUUUUUCACCUUGU
This 1076-nucleotide long non-coding RNA is filed under the name Gallus gallus (chicken). RNAcentral's name for it is "long non-coding RNA NONGGAT003628". The record is from RNAcentral. Lineage: Eukaryota; Metazoa; Chordata; Aves; Galliformes; Phasianidae.